GGGAAGAUAAGCUAAGUAAGCUAACAGGUUCAUACCCUGUCUAUGGGGGCUACCCCUCUUUCUA
This 64-nucleotide transfer RNA is filed under the name unidentified. RNAcentral describes it as "Epeorus sp. 01 ZXM-2022a tRNA-Met". The record is from RNAcentral.